RNAcentral lists this unclassified non-coding RNA (235 nucleotides) under uncultured fungus. Its description in RNAcentral is "sequence contains ITS1". The record is from RNAcentral. Lineage: Eukaryota; Fungi.
GUAUUGUAUUGCGUUAAACGCUGCAUACAUUCCACGAGACUUCAUUAAUGUGUGUGUGUGUGUAAAGACGUAGGACUAUGGAAGGAAGACAGAGCCUCCCAAACCACAAAACUACAGGAGUGCACAGGUGUGAGUGGAUGUGUAAACAGAGCGUGCACAUGCCCCCAUUUGAGGACCAGCAACAGCUCAUGUCAACAAUUCAGUAAUGAUCCUUCCGCAGGUUCACCUACGGAAA